CGCUGGGAAACCCUUGGGGGUUGAGGGUGGGCUACCAGGGGACGUGCUUCACGGAUUCCCGCGACCAGGAAGCGCGUUCUCGGAGCUUGUCGUGCUUGUGGCAGAAACACUGAGGAUUGAAAAGUGAACAUUAGGAAGAGUAUCUUCAGAAGUCUUUCUCAG
Molecule: long non-coding RNA, 162 nt
Organism: Neogale vison (American mink)
Lineage: Eukaryota; Metazoa; Chordata; Mammalia; Carnivora; Mustelidae
Exons: 2
Source: RefSeq, a predicted model, not a curated record